GAUGAACGCUGGCGGCGUGCCUAAUACAUGCAAGUCGAGCGAACGGACGAGAAGCUUGCUUCUCUGAUGUUAGCGGCGGACGGGUGAGUCACACGUGGAUAACCUCCCUAUAAGACUGGGAUAACUUCGGGAAACCGGAUCUAAUACCGGAUAAUAUUUUGCACCGCAUGGUUCAAAAGUGAAAGACGGUCUUGCUGUCACUUAUAGAUGCAUCCGCGCUGCAUUAGCUAGUUGGUAAGGUAACGGCUUACCAAGGCAACGAUGCAUAGCCGACCUGAGAGGGUGAUCGGCCACACUGGAACUGAGACACGGUCCAGACUCCUACGGGAGGCAGCAGUAGGGAAUGUUCCGAAAUGGGCGAAAGCCUGAAGGAGCAACGGCGCGUGAGUGAUGAAGGUCUUCGGAUCGUAAAACUCUGUUAUGAGGGAAGAACAUAUGUGUAAGUAACUGUGCACAUCUUGACGGUACCUAAUCAGAAAGCCACGCUAACUACGUG
Molecule: ribosomal RNA, 496 nt
Filed under: uncultured bacterium
Lineage: Bacteria
Description: partial 16S ribosomal RNA
Rfam family: Bacterial small subunit ribosomal RNA
Source: RNAcentral